This 301-nucleotide unclassified non-coding RNA is filed under the name Hevea brasiliensis (rubber tree). The record is from RNAcentral. Lineage: Eukaryota; Viridiplantae; Streptophyta; Magnoliopsida; Malpighiales; Euphorbiaceae.
GUGAAUGUGAGGCUUAGGUAUGCAAGUGUUUAGCUUUAAUGUUUUCAUGGUCUCAUGUUUUGUGGACCAGCUGCAGUUAGUUUGUUGUUACAAAUCAGUUUAUAUUUGAUUCUGACAGUUUGAUAUUACAUAGAGCUAGUUUUAGAUUCUUUCUGGCAUCUGGAUUGGCGUGAAGUUCUUCAUAAACAUUGUUCCUUGAUUGUUAAUGGUUUCUUCUGCUGUUGGCUGAUUUUUUCACUCCUUCCUUGUCUAAGUAGAUAUCUAUUGUUGAACUGUUUACUAGAAGUACCAAUAAAUUGUA